This 253-nucleotide ribosomal RNA is filed under the name uncultured bacterium. RNAcentral's name for it is "partial 16S ribosomal RNA". It matches the Rfam family "Bacterial small subunit ribosomal RNA", at positions 524 to 776 of the family's 1533-position model. The record is from RNAcentral.
UACAGAGGGUGCGAGCGUUAAUCGGAAUUACUGGGCGUAAAGCGCACGUAGGCGGCUUUGUAAGUUAGAGGUGAAAGCCCGGGGCUCAACUCCGGAAUUGCCUUUAAGACUGCAUCGCUAGAAUUGUGGAGAGGUGAGUGGAAUUCCGAGUGUAGAGGUGAAAUUCGUAGAUAUUCGGAAGAACACCAGUGGCGAAGGCGACUCACUGGACACAUAUUGACGCUGAGGUGCGAAAGCGUGGGGAGCAAACAGG